RNAcentral lists this ribosomal RNA (2989 nucleotides) under Salmonella enterica subsp. enterica serovar Infantis. RNAcentral's name for it is "23S ribosomal RNA". It matches the Rfam family "Bacterial large subunit ribosomal RNA". Lineage: Bacteria; Pseudomonadati; Pseudomonadota; Gammaproteobacteria; Enterobacterales; Enterobacteriaceae. RNAcentral also lists the same sequence under 2 other names. The record is from RNAcentral.
GGUUAAGCGACUAAGCGUACACGGUGGAUGCCCUGGCAGUCAGAGGCGAUGAAGGACGUGCUAAUCUGCGAUAAGCGCCGGUAAGGUGAUAUGAACCGUUAUAACCGGCGAUUUCCGAAUGGGGAAACCCAGUGUGACUCGUCACACUAUCAUUAACUGAAUCCAUAGGUUAAUGAGGCGAACCGGGGGAACUGAAACAUCUAAGUACCCCGAGGAAAAGAAAUCAACCGAGAUUCCCCCAGUAGCGGCGAGCGAACGGGGAGGAGCCCAGAGCCUGAAUCAGCAUGUGUGUUAGUGGAAGCGUCUGGAAAGGCGCGCGAUACAGGGUGACAGCCCCGUACACAAAAGCGCAUGUGCUGUGAGCUCGAUGAGUAGGGCGGGACACGUGGUAUCCUGUCUGAAUAUGGGGGGACCAUCCUCCAAGGCUAAAUACUCCUGACUGACCGAUAGUGAACCAGUACCGUGAGGGAAAGGCGAAAAGAACCCCGGCGAGGGGAGUGAAAAAGAACCUGAAACCGUGUACGUACAAGCAGUGGGAGCACAGGUUUACCUGUGUGACUGCGUACCUUUUGUAUAAUGGGUCAGCGACUUAUAUUCUGUAGCAAGGUUAACCGAAUAGGGGAGCCGGAGGGAAACCGAGUCUUAAUUGGGCGUUAAGUUGCAGGGUAUAGACCCGAAACCCGGUGAUCUAGCCAUGGGCAGGUUGAAGGUUGGGUAACACUAACUGGAGGACCGAACCGACUAAUGUUGAAAAAUUAGCGGAUGACCUGUGGCUGGGGGUGAAAGGCCAAUCAAACCGGGAGAUAGCUGGUUCUCCCCGAAAGCUAUUUAGGUAGCGCCUCGUGAAUUCAUCUCCGGGGGUAGAGCACUGUUUCGGCUAGGGGGCCAUCCCGGCUUACCAACCCGAUGCAAACUGCGAAUACCGGAGAAUGUUAUCACGGGAGACACACGGCGGGUGCUAACGUCCGUCGUGAAGAGGGAAACAACCCAGACCGCCAGCUAAGGUCCCAAAGUCAUGGUUAAGUGGGAAACGAUGUGGGAAGGCCCAGACAGCCAGGAUGUUGGCUUAGAAGCAGCCAUCAUUUAAAGAAAGCGUAAUAGCUCACUGGUCGAGUCGGCCUGCGCGGAAGAUGUAACGGGGCUAAACCAUGCACCGAAGCUGCGGCAGCGAACGUAUCACUUAAAGCGAUUCAGCGGGUUACGAUUGACGGAGCGAAGCGACGUCAAAGCGUAUACAAAGUCGAGUCGGUUUAAGGAUACGUUCGUUGGGUAGGGGAGCGUUCUGUAAGCCUGUGAAGGUGUGUCGUGAGGCAUGCUGGAGGUAUCAGAAGUGCGAAUGCUGACAUAAGUAACGAUAAAGCGGGUGAAAAGCCCGCUCGCCGGAAGACCAAGGGUUCCUGUCCAACGUUAAUCGGGGCAGGGUGAGUCGACCCCUAAGGCGAGGCCGAAAGGCGUAGUCGAUGGGAAACGGGUUAAUAUUCCCGUACUUGGUGUUACUGCGAAGGGGGGACGGAGAAGGCUAUGUUGGCCGGGCGACGGUUGUCCCGGUUUAAGCGUGUAGGUGUGUGUUCCAGGUAAAUCCGGUUCACUUUAACACUGAGGCGUGAUGACGAGGCACUACGGUGCUGAAGCAACAAAUGCCCUGCUUCCAGGAAAAGCCUCUAAGCAUCAGGUAACAUCAAAUCGUACCCCAAACCGACACAGGUGGUCAGGUAGAGAAUACCAAGGCGCUUGAGAGAACUCGGGUGAAGGAACUAGGCAAAAUGGUGCCGUAACUUCGGGAGAAGGCACGCUGACAUGUAGGUGAAGUGAUUUACUCAUGGAGCUGAAGUCAGUCGAAGAUACCAGCUGGCUGCAACUGUUUAUUAAAAACACAGCACUGUGCAAACACGAAAGUGGACGUAUACGGUGUGACGCCUGCCCGGUGCCGGAAGGUUAAUUGAUGGGGUCAGCGCAAGCGAAGCUCCUGAUCGAAGCCCCGGUAAACGGCGGCCGUAACUAUAACGGUCCUAAGGUAGCGAAAUUCCUUGUCGGGUAAGUUCCGACCUGCACGAAUGGCGUAAUGAUGGCCAGGCUGUCUCCACCCGAGACUCAGUGAAAUUGAACUCGCUGUGAAGAUGCAGUGUACCCGCGGCAAGACGGAAAGACCCCGUGAACCUUUACUAUAGCUUGACACUGAACAUUGAGCCUUGAUGUGUAGGAUAGGUGGGAGGCUUUGAAGCGUGGACGCCAGUCUGCGUGGAGCCGACCUUGAAAUACCACCCUUUAAUGUUUGAUGUUCUAACGUGGACCCGUAAUCCGGGUUGCGGACAGUGUCUGGUGGGUAGUUUGACUGGGGCGGUCUCCUCCUAAAGAGUAACGGAGGAGCACGAAGGUUGGCUAAUCCUGGUCGGACAUCAGGAGGUUAGUGCAAUGGCAUAAGCCAGCUUGACUGCGAGCGUGACGGCGCGAGCAGGUGCGAAAGCAGGUCAUAGUGAUCCGGUGGUUCUGAAUGGAAGGGCCAUCGCUCAACGGAUAAAAGGUACUCCGGGGAUAACAGGCUGAUACCGCCCAAGAGUUCAUAUCGACGGCGGUGUUUGGCACCUCGAUGUCGGCUCAUCACAUCCUGGGGCUGAAGUAGGUCCCAAGGGUAUGGCUGUUCGCCAUUUAAAGUGGUACGCGAGCUGGGUUUAGAACGUCGUGAGACAGUUCGGUCCCUAUCUGCCGUGGGCGCUGGAGAACUGAGGGGGGCUGCUCCUAGUACGAGAGGACCGGAGUGGACGCAUCACUGGUGUUCGGGUUGUCAUGCCAAUGGCACUGCCCGGUAGCUAAAUGCGGAAGAGAUAAGUGCUGAAAGCAUCUAAGCACGAAACUUGCCCCGAGAUGAGUUCUCCCUGAGACUUAGAGUCUCCUGAAGGAACGUUGAAGACGACGACGUUGAUAGGCCGGGUGUGUAAGCGCAGCGAUGCGUUGAGCUAACCGGUACUAAUGAACCGUGAGGCUUAACCUU